Molecule: ribosomal RNA, 366 nt
Filed under: uncultured bacterium
Lineage: Bacteria
Description: bacterial SSU rRNA
Rfam family: Bacterial small subunit ribosomal RNA
Source: RNAcentral
GCCCAGAGUAAAUUUGGAUUAAUACCCCAUUAAUAUAUUUGAUAAGGCAUCUUAUUAAUAUUAAAGCUUCGGCACUUGAUGAUGGGUGUGCGGCUGAUUAGAUAGUUGGCGGGGUAACGGCCCACCAAGUCUACGAUCAGUAGCUGAUGUGAGAGCAUGAUCAGCCACACGGGCACUGAGACACGGGCCCGACUCCUACGGGAGGCAGCAGUAAGGAAUAUUGGACAAUGGACGAAAGUCUGAUCCAGCCAUGCCGCGUGAAGGAUUAAGGUCCUCUGGAUUGUAAACUUCUUUUAUAUGGGACGAAAAAAGGGCAUUCUUGUUCACUUGACGGUACCAUAUGAAUAAGCACCGGCUAACUCCGUG